Serinus canaria (Common canary) is the source of this 448-nucleotide long non-coding RNA. RefSeq lists it as uncharacterized. Lineage: Eukaryota; Metazoa; Chordata; Aves; Passeriformes; Fringillidae. The transcript is spliced from 2 exons. The record is from RefSeq and is a predicted model, not a curated record.
CGGGGGCUCGGCGGGUCCGGCCGCCGCUCGCGCCCCGCCCGCGCCGCGCCGGGGCCGCCGGUCAGCGGCGGGAGCCGCCGGGCCGUCCGCACCGCCGCCAACUUCGGGGAGAGCGAGCCCAGCGCGGAGCCGAACCCGGGAGCGCCCCGCCAGACACAAAGCUGCCAGCCAAGAAGAGCAGUCAGCACAGGGGGACCUUCUGAAGAAGCACUUAUCCUGAAUUCACCACCACCACAAAUGUAGCACAUCCUGGGUCUGGAGCAGCGCAGUCCUCAGCGAUGAAGACCUGUGAGCAUGUUUAAUACAGUGGAAAAGACAAGGUUAUUUAUAUCUCACAAAGCUGCUUACCCAGCCUUAGAUGUGCCCAGCCAUAGUGCAGCUGCAGGAAUCCAUCAGGAGGACACCUGAGAUUCCUCUCCAUUAAAAGUGAUGGAUCUAACACAGCCAA